RNAcentral lists this long non-coding RNA (516 nucleotides) under Crocodylus porosus (Australian saltwater crocodile). Its description in RNAcentral is "lncRNA (ENSCPRG00005004954.1)". Lineage: Eukaryota; Metazoa; Chordata; Crocodylia; Crocodylidae. The record is from RNAcentral.
CGUGAAAUGUGAAGCAGCUGAGGAAACAAACUCUCUCAUUUUCCACAGUAUUUUUACAACAACACAUCAUACAACAAAGGAUAUGAUAUGUUUAUCUCUAGAUGCUUUCCUGAAUCUAGAAUGCUGCGUGGAGCUGUAGACAACUCACUAAUACCAGACAGCUGCCAGAAGGGAAGGAAUUCAAUGAGGAGAAGCAAAGAUUAUCUUCCCAGAGGAAGAGCCUACAAGUGCAGAAGAGAAUCUCCAGUAAACUGAGAAGACGUUGGGGUGUGGGGAAAUAAGAUAAGUUGCUCUGGUCCUAGCCUCUUAAGCCAGUGCAAACUAAACGAGGAAGUGGGAAAUAUACAUCCCCAUUUUCUACAGAGAAUGCUUGUAAGAAGUUGAUGUACAUUGACCUUUCACAGCACCUCAUAUUGCACAUUUGCUAGGCAGUCACCUAUACAUGCAGUUUGAGCAUACAGAUUAACAGUUCACCUCCUUCCAUGUUUCAGAGCCACAAGUACAUUAAUAAAGGAG